This 276-nucleotide small RNA is filed under the name Notechis scutatus (mainland tiger snake). RNAcentral's name for it is "7SK RNA (ENSNSUG00000014156.1)". The stretch from base 1 to 200 matches the Rfam family "7SK RNA". From Rfam's summary of the family: 7SK was discovered as an abundant small nuclear RNA in the mid-70s but a possible function has only recently been suggested. Two independent studies have found that 7SK RNA binds the CDK9/cyclin T complex (known as elongation factor P-TEFb). P-TEFb activates transcription by phosphorylating the C-terminal domain of RNA polymerase II. The record is from RNAcentral. Lineage: Eukaryota; Metazoa; Chordata; Lepidosauria; Squamata; Elapidae.
GGCUGUGAGAGUGAUCUGGGUGUGACAUCUAUCACCCCAUUGAUUGGCAGAGUUAACUCAGCUGAUUUAGCUGACUAUGUAGGUGUCUUCUUCCUCCCUCACUGCUACGUGUGUCCCUCCUAAACCUGCAUGCAUGGUGGAAGGGGACAACCAUCCUAGAUAGGAUGUAUACACAGAUCUUUGGUCAAGGAGGUACAACACAUACAUAGGGGGAGGGGAAUGCAGUAUCAAUUCUGAUUGGUCUUCAUCCCUAUCUGAAAUAGACCAAUGGCAGCC